ACAGCAGCAGCCGCGGUAAUACCGAGGGUGCGAGCGUUAAUCGGAUUUACUGGGCGUAAAGCGUGCGUAGGCGGCUUUUUAAGUCGGAUGUGAAAUCCCUGAGCUUAACUUAGGAAUUGCAUUCGAUACUGGGAAGCUAGAGUAUGGGAGAGGAUGGUAGAAUUCCAGGUGUAGCGGUGAAAUGCGUAGAGAUCUGGAGGAAUACCGAUGGCGAAGGCAGCCAUCUGGCCUAAUACUGACGCUGAGGUACGAAAGCAUGGGGAGCAAACAGGAUUAGAUACCCCAGUAGUCCCUGUCUCUUAUAC
This 305-nucleotide ribosomal RNA is filed under the name uncultured bacterium. RNAcentral's name for it is "partial 16S ribosomal RNA". It matches the Rfam family "Bacterial small subunit ribosomal RNA", at positions 505 to 807 of the family's 1533-position model. The record is from RNAcentral.